This is a non-coding RNA of Myotis lucifugus (little brown bat), 75 nucleotides long. The record is from Rfam. Lineage: Eukaryota; Metazoa; Chordata; Mammalia; Chiroptera; Vespertilionidae.
GGUGGUUCUCAGGUGACACAGCCCGGAAUUGGACUCCCUCCUCUCUGGUUUCAGGUGCAUCACCUGAGAACCACA